Molecule: ribosomal RNA, 486 nt
Filed under: uncultured bacterium
Lineage: Bacteria
Description: partial 16S ribosomal RNA
Rfam family: Bacterial small subunit ribosomal RNA
Source: RNAcentral
AUUGAACGCUGGCGGCAUGCCUUACACAUGCAAGUCGAACGGCAGCACGGGUGCUUGCACCUGGUGGCGAGUGGCGAACGGGUGAGUAAUACAUCGGAACAUGUCCUGUAGUGGGGGAUAGCCCGGCGAAAGCCGGAUUAAUACCGCAUACGAUCCACGGAUGAAAGCGGGGGCCCUUCGGGCCUCGCGCUAUCGGGUUGGCCGAUGGCUGAUUAGCUAGUUGGUGGGGUAAAGGCCUACCAAGGCGACGAUCAGUAGCUGGUCUGAGAGGACGACCAGCCACACUGGGACUGAGACACGGCCCAGACUCCUACGGGAGGCAGCAGUGGGGAAUUUUGGACAAUGGGCGAAAGCCUGAUCCAGCAAUGCCGCGUGUGUGAAGAAGGCCUUCGGGUUGUAAAGCACUUUUGUCCGGAAAGAAAUCCUUGACUCUAAUACAGUCGGGGGAUGACGGUACCGGAAGAAUAAGCACCGGCUAACUACGUG